AGAAGAAGAAGAAGAAGAAGAAAGAGGAAAUCUACAUCCAUUGGGAACAAGCCACAAUAUAAUCCAAAUUUUCACUAGUGAUAGUACACUAAAAUAACAUUAGACAAGACAAAAAUUUUGACCAACUAGAUGAUAAAAUCUAAAUUCUCCAAUCCUUCAUAUCUUGGUAUGCCUACAGACAUAGAGAUAUGAUAUUUAAAUGAUGAACAAAACCUUUGCAGCUUCUUGAAUUAAAUUCUUCAAGUCCCUGGAAUGGUAGUGUUUUAUUAAUAUGGCUCCCGUAAUGAGCUACUCUGUGCCAGCAGAAUCGGCACCUGAAUUGGACAAAUGACUCGUUACCCAUGGAACUACAAAUCCAUGUUCAGAUAAAAGAACAAGGGAACAAAAAUUAACCUAAUUUUUUAUGGUACAAGUGGAGCAUCUUGAUUACUCAGCUUGGCAUAAUUUUGAGGAGUUCAAUAUCAAACAGCAGAGUUUUGUCUAUCAGUCCCUGGUUCCUCAACACAAAAUCCAAGGCUCUUUGGCCCUGCCAAGCCCAUAAUUUUCCUGUUUGAGGAAAAGCACACAAGUACAAUGCAAGAACCAGCAAAAAGACUCGAGCAUUACCGAAAAUGUUGUUGGUCUUGGGCCACUCUUGUUGAAGUCAUUCUCAGGAUAUCCCAGUUCUGGGGGCACAAUUAUCCUGCAUCACUGUGAAGUAUACGUGAAACUUGAGCACAUAUUAAAAGCAAAUUCUCUUUCAAGGAAAGAAAGAUUCAAAAUUGUAAUCAUAUAUUAGUAUAUUACUUCAAUGAUAUUUCCAUUACAAGGGUUACAGAUUUGGGAAAACCAGUUGCAGCACCUUCUAACUCCACCCAAAGCCAUGCCUGAAACAGCUUCCUCAAAAGCAGUUAUUACCUCACCUGAACGUUCAAGAACCAGGCAUCCCCAUUAAAAUUCUCAAUUUUGAGUAUAAAGGAAUCACGUGAACCUUGUAACAAAACCAACAUGAUCAAAUCAUGCUCAAGUCUCAACUUCAAUCCCAAUCAGUGCAGUUGCACCACACAACUGAACAAAUAUUGCCAGCUUCUGAUAUAAUCUCAUAAAAGGAAAAAACUACUGAGUAGACACACUGCAAAUGUAAUGAUCAAAGAAAAGCAUGAAUGCAGAUAAAGAUUAAUAGUAGAGGAGAAAGUUCCUAACAAAGGAAUGAGCACAAACGUGUAGUUCCAUCUGAAAUAUUAGGAUAACGUUGCUCAAUCUUUCAAAUAGGAAAUAAGUUUUCACCUGGCCAGAUCGUAGUUUGAAUUUGAAAAGGUCCUUCUCAUUUGCCUGCAUAUCAGGAAACUGCAGAACAUUGUUAAGCUAGUCAUGUGCCUUUACUCAAGAAAUGUAGAAGCAAUUCAUACCACAAAGGAACCACCCUAUGUCUUGUGUAACGGUUCGGAAGUUCCCCACUCUUAUUUUUGGCAGUUGGCAAGACCGUCACAAGCUGUCUCUUGCCCUAUGGAGCUAACUAGUGUGAAUCUGUACAGGUAAC
Molecule: unclassified non-coding RNA, 1519 nt
Filed under: Hevea brasiliensis (rubber tree)
Lineage: Eukaryota; Viridiplantae; Streptophyta; Magnoliopsida; Malpighiales; Euphorbiaceae
Source: RNAcentral